AUUUCAUCAUUGUCUCUCACUUCACACAAACCCUUUGAAUAAUCCCUCUAUCUUCUUCUUCCUCACCCAUCCAACUACCUCUGUUUCAACAAGAUGGAGUUUAUUCAACAACAACAGAAGAGGAAGAAGAAAAAUUUGUUGGGUUGAAGCUGUGGAAAAAGAUUCUGAAUUUGAAAUUGACCCUGAUAAAGCCCGUGAAGCUUUGAGAAAACUUGAUGAACAGCUUCAAACCCUUUCUCAGAAACAAAUUGACCCUCCAAAGAUUAGGGCUACUGAUGUGACCCGUGCUAGCAGCCAAGUAACAGAAGACACUCGCGAUCCUGAAGGAUCCUUUUUGACUUCCCUAGCGUUCGGUCUCUUACUCUUCACUAUUUUCUAUAAUAUACUCUUCACUACUGUAAUCAAACCAGCAGUUGAUGGACCAGAAACAGUUGCAGAAAUAGACUUAUAUGCUUCAAACUCUUGAAGCAGCUCAGGUAAAUCAUAUAGAUGGA
This 494-nucleotide unclassified non-coding RNA is filed under the name Hevea brasiliensis (rubber tree). The record is from RNAcentral. Lineage: Eukaryota; Viridiplantae; Streptophyta; Magnoliopsida; Malpighiales; Euphorbiaceae.